AGCUGGUUUGCUCUGAAAAGUUUGUCAUCGCCUUCCCUGUGACCACGGAUGUACUGGCUCAGGAUGCGGCAAUGGCAAUGAAAGGCCGGUUCAUACCGGCCUUUUUUGCG
This 110-nucleotide small RNA is filed under the name Rhizobium sp. EC-SD404. RNAcentral's name for it is "ar35". It matches the Rfam family "Alphaproteobacterial sRNA ar35". The record is from RNAcentral. Lineage: Bacteria; Pseudomonadati; Pseudomonadota; Alphaproteobacteria; Hyphomicrobiales; Rhizobiaceae.